This is a long non-coding RNA of Theobroma umbraticum, 712 nucleotides long. RefSeq lists it as uncharacterized. Lineage: Eukaryota; Viridiplantae; Streptophyta; Magnoliopsida; Malvales; Malvaceae. The record is from RefSeq and is a predicted model, not a curated record.
UGUCUUCAUUACUUUUAUGAUUCUUGCCUUUUUUUUACAGCUGCACUCCAAAUUUUGACACGAGCAACUUGUGAGUGGCUUUAAGUGGAGUGUGGGAAGUGAAAAUCGGAGUGGGAGUAGAUGCAGUUGACCAGUAGGCUUAAACGUGAUGGUUGGGGUUUGUGCAAUUAAUAUAAUUGUAUGCCUGCCAGCUAUGGCCAUAAGUUCGGUUAGGACUGAAGAACUGAGGAAGAAGACUCGUUUUAUUUAUCCCUAUGGAGGCCCAUAAUAUUUGUUCGAGCGCCAUUGUUGCUCUGGUUCUUACUGAAAGAUAAUAAUGAAAACCGGAGCGUUUGCAUAAAAAACUAUUUGUGGGUUAGAGAUCUUUGGGACGUUGUGGAACAAACCUCAGAACCUCCUGAACGGGAAGAUGAGGCUGAAUUCAAGGCUUGGAGUAAGAGGAAUGUGGCUGAUAUAUAUAUAUAUAUAUAACUUUUGACAGAGCAAUUAGUAUCCGAAUCUUAGCUUAGGCUUGAACAAAUCUCAAGGGCAGCUAUGCAGAUGCAAAGAGAACUACAACGAUUCAAGAUAAUAAAAAAGUUUGACCAGUAGACUUAAACGCGUGAUGGGGUGUGUGCAUUUAAAAUAAUUCCAGUUUCUACUAUGCCUACUGGCCAUCGCCAUAAGCUUGGUUAGGACUGAAGAACUGAGGAAGAAGACUCGUUUUACUUAU